AAUGGGCGCAAGCCUGAUCCUGCCAUCCCGCGUGCAGGAUGACGGCCUAUGGGUUGUAAACUGCUUUUAGAAGGGACGAACCCUCGGAUUUAUCCGGGGCUGACGGUACCUUCAGAAUAAGCACCGGCUAACUCCGUGCCAGCAGCCGCGGUAAUACGGAGGGUGCAAGCGUUAUCCGGAAUCACUGGGUUUAAAGGGUGCGUAGGCGGCAUUGUAAGUCAGAUGUGAAAGCCCACCGCUUAACGGUGGAACUGCAUUUGAUACUGCAAAGCUUGAAUCAGGAGGAGGUCAGCGGAAUGUGUCAUGUAGCGGUGAAAUGCAUAGAUAUGACAUACAACACCAGUUGAGAGGCAGCUGGCUAGUCCUGUAUUGACGAUGCGGCAAGAAAGGGGGGGGAGCGAACAGGAUU
RNAcentral lists this ribosomal RNA (409 nucleotides) under uncultured Gammaproteobacteria bacterium. RNAcentral describes it as "bacterial SSU rRNA". It matches the Rfam family "Bacterial small subunit ribosomal RNA", at positions 370 to 779 of the family's 1533-position model. Lineage: Bacteria; Pseudomonadati; Pseudomonadota; Gammaproteobacteria. The record is from RNAcentral.